CCCUUAGAUGUUCUGGGCCGCACGCGUGCUACACUGAUGCAUUCAACGAGUCUAAAACCUGGUCUGAUAGGGCUGGGUAAUCUUUUGAAAGUGCAUCGUGAUUGGGAUAGAUGAUUGCAAUUCUUCAUCUUCAACGAGGAAUGCCUAGUAAACGCAAGUCAUCAGCUUGCAUUGAUUACGUCCCUGCCCUUUGUACACACCGCCCGUCGCCCCUACCGAUUGAAUGAUCCGAUGAAUACCAUGGAUUGAGAGUACGAAUAGGUUCGCUUAUUUCUGCUGCUCGAGAAGUGGAGUAAAUCUUAUCAUUUAGAGGAAGGAGAAGUCGUAACA
RNAcentral lists this ribosomal RNA (330 nucleotides) under uncultured eukaryote. RNAcentral describes it as "partial 18S ribosomal RNA". It matches the Rfam family "Eukaryotic small subunit ribosomal RNA", at positions 1470 to 1796 of the family's 1831-position model. The record is from RNAcentral.